This is a small nuclear RNA of Protopterus annectens (West African lungfish), 165 nucleotides long. RefSeq annotates it as U1 spliceosomal RNA. NCBI's taxonomy places the organism in Eukaryota, Metazoa, Chordata, Ceratodontiformes, Protopteridae. The transcript has a single exon. The record is from RefSeq and is a predicted model, not a curated record.
AUACUUACCUGGUUGAGGAAUACCAUGAUCAAGAAGGUGGCUACCCCAAGGUGAGGCAGUUCCAUAGCACAUUUAGGUUGGGCUGACCCCUGUGAUUUCCCCAAAUGUGGGAAACUCAAUUGCAUAAUUUCUGACAGCGGGGGACUGCAUUUGCGCAGAUCCCUG